AACGAACGCUGGCGGCAUGCCUAACACAUGCAAGUCGAACGAGACCUUCGGGUCUAGUGGCGCACGGGUGCGUAACGCGUGGGAACCUGCCCUUAGGUUCGGAAUAACUCCCCGAAAGGGGUGCUAAUACCGGAUAAUGUCUUCGGACCAAAGAUUUAUCGCCUUUGGAUGGGCCCGCGUUGGAUUAGCUGGUUGGUAGGGUAAAAGCCUACCAAGGCGACGAUCCAUAGCUGGUCUGUGAGGAUGAUCAGCCACACUGGGACGGGGACGCGGCCCGGACUCCUCCGGAAGGCGGCAGAGGGUAAUGGUGCAAAGCGGCGGAAGUCAUGAAGGUCUUCGGCCCGGAGAGUUAUGAUAUUAGGGGGGUAGAAAUGUUUUUUUACCCGUGCACAAAAUGACGGUACCGAAUCAGAAAGCCCCGGCUAACUCCGUG
This 433-nucleotide ribosomal RNA is filed under the name uncultured bacterium. Its description in RNAcentral is "partial 16S ribosomal RNA". It matches the Rfam family "Bacterial small subunit ribosomal RNA", at positions 29 to 507 of the family's 1533-position model. The record is from RNAcentral.